GCGCCUGUAGCUCAGCUGGAUAGAGCAACGGACUUCUAAUCCGUUGGUCGAGAGUUCG
Molecule: transfer RNA, 58 nt
Filed under: Syntrophus sp. RIFOXYC2_FULL_54_9
Lineage: Bacteria; Pseudomonadati; Thermodesulfobacteriota; Syntrophia; Syntrophales; Syntrophaceae
Description: tRNA-Arg
Rfam family: tRNA
About the family: Transfer RNA (tRNA) molecules are approximately 80 nucleotides in length.
Source: RNAcentral